CUUGCUUCUCUUGAGAGCGGCGGACGGGUGAGUAAUGCCUAGGAAUCUGCCUGGUAGUGGGGGAUAACGUUCGGAAACGGACGCUAAUACCGCAUACGUCCUACGGGAGAAAGCAGGGGACCUUCGGGCCUUGCGCUAUCAGAUGAGCCUAGGUCGGAUUAGCUAGUUGGUGGGGUAAUGGCUCACCAAGGCGACGAUCCGUAACUGGUCUGAGAGGAUGAUCAGUCACACUGGAACUGAGACACGGUCCAGACUCCUACGGGAGGCAGCAGUGGGGAAUAUUGGACAAUGGGCGAAAGCCUGAUCCAGCCAUGCCGCGUGUGUGAAGAAGGUCUUCGGAUUGUAAAGCACUUUAAGUUGGGAGGAAGGGUUGUAGAUUAAUACUCUGCAAUUUUGACGUUACCGACAGAAUAAGCACCGGCUAACUCUGUGCCAGCAGCCGCGGUAAUACAGAGGGUGCAAGCGUUAAUCGGAAUUACUGGGCGUAAAGCGCGCGUAGGUGGUUUGUUAAGUUGGAUGUGAAAUCCCCGGGCUCAACCUGGGAACUGCAUUCAAAACUGACUGACUAGAGUAUGGUAGAGGGUGGUGGAAUUUCCUGUGUAGCGGUGAAAUGCGUAGAUAUAGGAAGGAACACCAGUGGCGAAGCGACCACCUGGACUAAUACUGACACUGAGGUGCGAAAGCGUGGGGAGCAAACA
This 698-nucleotide ribosomal RNA is filed under the name uncultured bacterium. RNAcentral's name for it is "bacterial SSU rRNA". It matches the Rfam family "Bacterial small subunit ribosomal RNA", at positions 79 to 774 of the family's 1533-position model. The record is from RNAcentral.